Molecule: ribosomal RNA, 254 nt
Filed under: uncultured Stenotrophomonas sp.
Lineage: Bacteria; Pseudomonadati; Pseudomonadota; Gammaproteobacteria; Lysobacterales; Lysobacteraceae
Description: partial 16S ribosomal RNA
Rfam family: Bacterial small subunit ribosomal RNA
Source: RNAcentral
CGGACGGGUGAGGAAUACAUCGGAAUCUACUCUGUCGUGGGGGAUAACGUAGGGAAACUUACGCUAAUACCGCAUACGACCUACGGGUGAAAGCAGGGGAUCUUCGGACCUUGCGCGAUUGAAUGAGCCGAUGUCGGAUUAGCUAGUUGGCGGGGUAAAGGCCCACCAAGGCGACGAUCCGUAGCUGGUCUGAGAGGAUGAUCAGCCACACUGGAACUGAGACACGGUCCAGACUCCUACGGGAGGCAGCAGAU